CAUAGGUUUAAUAUUUUCAUCACAAGUAUAACUUAUUAUUAUAGAACAAGAAAUUAAAAUAUUAAAAAGUAAGUUACAAGUUAAUUUUGUUAUAACAACUGUUGUCUUACUUGUAUAAUGAGCUAACCAAGACAAACUGGUAUGUCGAUGGAAAAUUCAGGUUCAAGCAGACUUUAAGUACUUCGUUGUUGUGAGGUUCAAUGCGAAAACAGCUAACAAAACAGUCUAUCAUUAGGUCGAUGUCUUGGGCAACGUAGCUUUGACCACGAGAGAAUAGCUUUCCUGGACUAAAAAGUAGUGCCAUUAAAUCAUUCAUUACAUGUUGAACAAGCGUGAAGAUGACGUUGUUCGAAUCUAGAUUGUUUAUGUAUGUUGAUGCUUUACAAAGUUUAAUACAGGUGACUGCUGCAGCUUCUACUAGUUGUCUGCUAGAGCUACCAUGCAUUCCUAGACCUCGUUUAACACUGUCAAUGAAUUGUUUUUUCUUUAGAUGCUUUGCCGAACAAGGGGAACCAGAAUCAGCAUUAACUAUUUCUUCCAAGACUUUUGGUGAAAGUAUCAGGAGCAUAAUUUGUAAAGGCCAAACAGCUGCAGUUCUUCCUUUUUUAUUGUCUGCAAAUGUGUCAAGAAUGUCAAAUAGUUCUUCACAAGCUUUUCCAAGCUCCUCGUUAGGCUUUUUUUGGAUAUCAGUAAAUUCAUGUGGUUGACAGGGUGGAGAGGAAAGGGAGAAGGGGCGAAGGUCAAACCGUGGACUCCAAGGCGUGUAGAGGGAGGAGACCGCGAGAAGCAUCUUCCCAUGAAUGAACGAAUCAAUCAACGAACAAACGAAGGACGGUACAUGCAUUCAUGAGGACAACGAUACCAACUAUUAAUGACACCGCGCCAGCAAACGAGAAGAUAAUGAAACGACUGCAUUAAAACGACAAUUCUGAUACGAAAUUUACAACAAAAAGAACGAAACCGUCACGGUUAAAUGGUCGCAUUCAUGAAUUAUACGCGUAAACUUCCCUUCAUUGAUGAAGUCCAAAAAUGACCAGCUAAACGGCGAAAACAAAGGAAACACCGAGCAGAACUGAAACGGAUUAAACGUAACAUGCAGCUUUUAUUCCGAAUUCUAUCUAAUCAAUUGUUGCCAUGGGUUCGUCGAAAUAUAUCCGAUACUCCGUGGAAAUUCGCCUCGACGUAUGUUCCUCUCUCGUUCUUCAACAUCUCACUGUUCACCAAUAUCCACUUAUUAAUAGAAACUCUGUUUUACACUUAUCCCGUAGUGCACGAUGUCAAUCGCACGGGGCCGUGUGUUCCCGUGGAACAUCGUGUGUCCAAGCAAAAUGAAAACGACCGUUGCCGGUCUCUUUCCGAUCGUGCACAGAACACAGGGGCCAAAUACAAAGUAUCCAUUUUUCAUUUUCUUUCAGACACGAUUACAGAGAGCCCGUGGAACGAAACGCGAAAGAAACUCGGUGUACUGGUAGGUAAUAACAAGAGGGAAGCAUGGUUGAGCCAGGAUACGAUAGUAGGUGAAGGUGUAGGAGGAGACAAAAGAAAGGACCAAGAAAUGUGUGCGUUUAGGUGCGAGGAAUACAGGAGCGAAAAGAGAGACAGAGAGAGACACGGAGCGAGAGAAAGCACCGGAAGAGGGUAGGUAAGAAAGAGAGAGGGGAACGGGCAACGAAAGAGGGAAAGGCGGAUAGAACGGGUGGAAAGAAAGCUAAACAGAUUUUGUAGAUCGAGUCGCAGCUGUGGUGUGUGUACCUGUUCCUCGAAACGUGUGAUCAGCAAAUUCGCCCAUUCUUUCGGCUUUUGCGUGCCCAUCGCCGUCCGAGGUUCAGUGACGAGCCGUCAUCACGUACGACGAUUCACCAAUUCGCUGCGAACAUUCGACAUCGGUAUGUCGCCAUUUACGAACGUCGACUGCCAGCCGAGAGAGCGCCGCGACCGCUCGCUCUUUCUCUCCCGUUGGGGAGGGGCGCCCGUCACAGAGCCCUCAAGAAUUACAGCGGGGCCUGGGACGAAGAUCCUCGUAGACGGAACCGAUACCGACCGAAGCUACCCGAUACCCAGCUUUUCCACCGGCCAACCCUGUGUCGUGUUCAGGGGUGUAGGGAUGUGCAUUCGAAUAGUGCGGUAGACCAGACGAGAUUUGAGGGAUUCUUUGGAAAUGUUGGGAAAAUUCGAAUAUUGUAGUGGACUGGAAGAGAUUUGGGGGUAUGUGGAGCCUCAUCGAUAAGAAUGAUGUCUGCAAAGGAAUUUUGUAAGUUAAUGACGUUUAUUGUUUAGGAUUCUUUGGAAAUGUUGGGAAAAUUCGAAUACUGUGGUAGACUGUAAGAAAUUUGGGGGUAUGUGGAGCUUGGUCGGUAAGAAUGAUGUUUACAAAGGAAUUGUGUAAUUAAUGAAAUUUAUCAUUUGCCAUGCUUUGGAAAUGUAGGGAAAAUUUGAAUAUCACGAUAGUGUUAAUGUAUCAUUUAUAUUUUUUUGAAAUUGCAGAGAACAAUUCAAAUAAAGUCGCGGAUUAUAAGAGUAGUCAGAAAUGUAGAGAAAUGAAGGAACUUCGUGGAUAAAAAUGAUGUUUGUAAAAUUUUGCAAUUUAAUGUUAUGUUGGACUUAUCAUUCGUUAAAAAUAUGUGAAAAGAUAUUGGUACCAUUAAGGAUUGUAAAAAACAAUAUGCUUAUACAUCUUAAAAGAUGAUAAAAGUUAGUUUCACUGAUAACAAUAAUUAUCGUGAAAAAGUUUUGCAAUUUAACGUAAUGUAAUAUUAAAUUUAUUUACAUGAGCUUUUAGCAAAGUACUUAAUUUAUCAGUUUCAACGUUAAGAACUUAUAGGCAACAAAAAUCAUAAGUUAAUGACUCAAUGUAUAUUUUAUACUUGAGUAAGAAACCAAAGUCAAUAAUAAAAAUGAAUGGAAACAGGAUGUAUUUUUUGAAGUAUCUUUCAUGAAUGUGGUAAGAAAGUAGCACAAUGUAGUUUAAAACAGAGAAUUUACUGAAUUUCAUUAAAUUACAGUGAAUCACAAUAUUACAUUAGUAAUGUUAUUACAUAAUACAGUAUAUGUCUUUCUUAAUUGUAUCAGCUUUGUUGAAGCUAAUAUAAGUUAAGAAAAUAUUAAUGAAGAUAAUGAAAUUUUAAUUUUGUUUACGCAUCUUCACA
This is a non-coding RNA of Nomia melanderi (Alkali bee), 3146 nucleotides long. The record is from RefSeq and is a predicted model, not a curated record. NCBI's taxonomy places the organism in Eukaryota, Metazoa, Arthropoda, Insecta, Hymenoptera, Halictidae.